This 228-nucleotide unclassified non-coding RNA is filed under the name Hevea brasiliensis (rubber tree). Lineage: Eukaryota; Viridiplantae; Streptophyta; Magnoliopsida; Malpighiales; Euphorbiaceae. The record is from RNAcentral.
GACUGUUGUCCAAUUUGGUAUUGGUAAGCGUUUCUAUAUUGCAGCAGGAAGAGCGCUUCGAAAUGGUUCCACAAACAUGGAUGUUUUGGUUGCAUUGGGAACUACAGCUUCCUAUGUUUAUUCUGUAUGUGCAUUACUUUAUGGUGCAGUUUCUGGGUUCUGGUCUCCAACUUAUUUUGAAACAAGUGCCAUGUUAAUCACAUUUGUACUUCUGGGGAAGUACUUGGA